GACGAACGCUGGCGGCGUGCUUAACACAUGCAAGUCGAGCGGUAAGGCCCUUUCGGGGGUACGACGAGCGGCGAACGGGUGAGUAACACGUGGGUGACCUGCCCUCAGCUCUGGGAUAAGCCUGGGAAACCGGGGUCUAAUACCGGAUAUGACUCCAUGACGCAUGUUGUGGGGUGGAAAGCCUUGUGCGGCUGAGGAUGGGCCCGCGGCCUAUCAGCUUGUUGGUGGGGUGAUGGCCUACCAAGGCGACGACGGGUAGCCGGCCUGAGAGGGCGACCGGCCACACUGGGACUGAGACACGGCCCAGACUCCUACGGGAGGCAGCAGGUGGGGAAUCUUGCGCAAUAGGCGAAAGCCUGACGCAGCGACGCCGCGUGAGGGAUGACGGCCU
This 391-nucleotide ribosomal RNA is filed under the name uncultured bacterium. RNAcentral's name for it is "bacterial SSU rRNA". It matches the Rfam family "Bacterial small subunit ribosomal RNA", at positions 28 to 417 of the family's 1533-position model. The record is from RNAcentral.